RNAcentral lists this ribosomal RNA (497 nucleotides) under uncultured bacterium. RNAcentral's name for it is "partial 16S ribosomal RNA". It matches the Rfam family "Bacterial small subunit ribosomal RNA", at positions 28 to 507 of the family's 1533-position model. The record is from RNAcentral.
GAUGAACGCUGGCGGCGUGCCUAAUACAUGCAAGUAGAACGCUGAAGGAAGGAGCUUGCUCUUUCCGGAUGAGUUGCGAACGGGUGAGUAACGCGUAGGUAACCUGCCUGGUAGCGGGGGAUAACUAUUGGAAACGAUAGCUAAUACCGCAUAACAGUAGAUGCUGCAUGACAACUAUUUGAAAGGGGCAAUUGCUCCACUACCAGAUGGACCUGCGUUGUAUUAGCUAGUUGGUGAGGUAACGGCUCACCAAGGCGACGAUACAUAGCCGACCUGAGAGGGUGAUCGGCCACACUGGGACUGAGACACGGCCCAGACUCCUACGGGAGGCAGCAGUAGGGAAUCUUCGGCAAUGGACGGAAGUCUGACCGAGCAACGCCGCGGGAGGGAAGAAGGUUUUCGGAUCGUAAAGCUCUGUUGUAAGAGAAGAACGAGUGUGAGAGUGGAAAGUUCACACUGUGACGGUAUCUUACCAGAAAGGGACGGCUAACUACGUG